AUCCCGAGUAGUGCGGGGCACGUGAAACCCCGUAUGAAUCCGGCAGGACCAUCUGCCAAGGCUAAAUACUUCCUAGCGACCGAUAGUGAAGCAGUACCGUGAGGGAAAGGUGAAAAGCACCCCGGAAGGGGAGUGAAAUAGAACCUGAAACCGUGUGCUUACAAAAAGUCAGAGCCCGUUUUAGGGGUGAUGGCGUGCCUUUUGUAGAAUGAACCGGCGAGUUACGUUCCCGUGCAAGGUUAAGGUGAAGAGCCGGAGCCGCAGCGAAAGCGAGUCUGAAUAGGGCGACAUAGUACGUGGACGUAGACCCGAAACCGGGUGAUCUACCCCUGUCCAGGGUGAAGGUGCGGUAACACGCACUGGAGGCCCGAACCCACGCAU
RNAcentral lists this ribosomal RNA (381 nucleotides) under Paenibacillus sp. CFBP 13594. Its description in RNAcentral is "partial 23S ribosomal RNA". It matches the Rfam family "Bacterial large subunit ribosomal RNA", at positions 405 to 787 of the family's 2925-position model. The record is from RNAcentral. Lineage: Bacteria; Bacillati; Bacillota; Bacilli; Caryophanales; Paenibacillaceae.